GGCGGGGUAGCUCAGCUGGUUAGAGCGUCGGAAUCAUAAUCCGCAGGUCGAGGGUUCGAAUCCCCCCCCCGCUACUA
This 77-nucleotide transfer RNA is filed under the name Ignavibacteriota bacterium. RNAcentral's name for it is "Ignavibacteriae bacterium tRNA-Met". It matches the Rfam family "tRNA". Rfam says of the family: Transfer RNA (tRNA) molecules are approximately 80 nucleotides in length. Their secondary structure includes four short double-helical elements and three loops (D, anti-codon, and T loops). The record is from RNAcentral. Lineage: Bacteria; Pseudomonadati; Ignavibacteriota.